RNAcentral lists this long non-coding RNA (876 nucleotides) under Lactuca sativa (garden lettuce). Its description in RNAcentral is "long non-coding RNA (LSAT_LNC005219)". The record is from RNAcentral. Lineage: Eukaryota; Viridiplantae; Streptophyta; Magnoliopsida; Asterales; Asteraceae.
GUGCUGAACCAGCAGCAGCAGCAGCAGCAGCAGAUGUAGACNGCUUGGACAUUUGUCCAUUGGUGCUGAACCAGCAGCAGCAGCAGCAGCAGCAGAUGAAGAACACAUCCAAGCCAAUGACGGGGAUCUACUUUUGACUACCACUGAAAAAGAAGAAAGUAGGGCCCACGACAGUGACUACUCUUUAUCCCAAUUAUCUGUCCAACAACCUACCUCCACCAUUGAUGACAUAUUUGGGCUAGGAUUGUCCGUUUGUCCAUUGGUGCUGAACCAGCAGCAGCAGCAGCAGCAGCAGAUGAAGAACACAUCCAAGCCAAUGACGGGGAUCUACUUUUGACUACCACUGAAAAAGAAGAAAGUAGGGCCCACGACAGUGACUACUCUUUAUCCCAAUUAUCUGUCCAACAACCUACCUCCACCAUUGAUGACAUAUUUGGGCUAGGAUUGUCCGUUGCUCCUGCUCCUCCUCCAUUGAAGCUAAACGCUAAACCUGUGCUUGAUCCAGCCACUUUCCAGCAGAAAUGGCGCCAACUUCCUGUUGCAGUAUCACAGGUUCUUUCCAUAUAAUCAUAUUCCUCUCAUUUAUCCAUCCAUUAUAACUGAUGAAUAAAGAUGCUCAAUUUGCAUAUUAAAUUUGCUCAUAUAUGGCUCAUAUGCUAAAGUUUAAUAAAAAUAGCUAAAAACAAAACCGCUUCAACAAUUUAGAGGUCACCAGGACAACAUCUUAAAUUGCUUUAUAUUUCUCAUGCUCAUGCAUGCAUAAAAUUAAAACUUCGAUUUUAUUUUAUGUUUGAUUUUAUAUGUUAUGCCUAAAUGCAAGAAAUAGCUAUUUACUUUCUUUUAUUUGUUACUUAUGGCAUCCUUCUUUCAUCGUCU